ACUUCUUUAAUGAAACCGGCAGGAGCUUGUCAAUCUCGGCUUCAAUGAUGGAGACUUGCUCGGGAGGGAAGUUGCGUCUCUUUUAUACUAUCUACAAGCUGGGUUGAUGUGAACACAAUGGCAGAUAAUCUGCAGAUCAAUGCUUAACAUAUCAGAUAGUGACCAUGCGAACACGUCAUUGUUGUUCUUGAGGAAGGUAAUCAAUUCCACCUUAUCUUCUAGGCUUAGGCACAAGCCGUUCUGCGCUACUAGCUCAACGUCCUAUUCGGGUUUUCAUCCUUCUUCAGGGGAGGCCUCCGGACAGAUUCCGUCAUCUUGGUCCUCACUAUUUGAUUGCUAUUAGGGAGUAGCUAUUCCCUUUCCUUUCUGGUCCACUCUAUUGUCAGGAAGAUUUGCUCCUUCUCUGCUAAGGUAAGGUUGAUAUAGAGUAUGGUCUCGUGUUGGCCCC
This 448-nucleotide long non-coding RNA is filed under the name Prunus persica (peach). Its description in RNAcentral is "long non-coding RNA (PPER_LNC003237)". The record is from RNAcentral. Lineage: Eukaryota; Viridiplantae; Streptophyta; Magnoliopsida; Rosales; Rosaceae.